This 1144-nucleotide long non-coding RNA is filed under the name Brassica napus (rape). RNAcentral's name for it is "long non-coding RNA (BNAP_LNC007308)". The record is from RNAcentral. Lineage: Eukaryota; Viridiplantae; Streptophyta; Magnoliopsida; Brassicales; Brassicaceae.
CGCGGUAGAAUAAUCGGAAUAAGAGAGAGGUCUGGAUACCUGGAUUAUAAAAAAAAAAAAAAAGUCAAUAGAGACUUAUAUAGAGAAUACUAAGACAGUGAUUACACGUAUCCUUUAUCAUAACACACCUUGACGUUCACCCGAAAGGUGUACGGACCCACUCAUGAUUUUUUUUCUUUUUCAUUUAUAAAACUUUCUUAUAUAAUUUUUUUUGAAUUAUUUUUGAAAAACAUAAGUUGCAGGAAAUACAAAAACAUCAUAUUAUAUAAAGUUUGGUUCCAGUGACAAAAAAAAAUAAAAAAUAAAAAAUAAAGUCUAGUUCUUCGAAAUUGCUAAUUAACUUGAUCGUGAAACGUAGAAAUUAAAUUUAUGAUAAUGACAUGUGUUAAAAUAUAUUCUAAUUAAUAAGAUAAAUAUAAUAAGAUACUAAUGACUCAGUAGUAAUUUUUGUUUAUAAGAACCUAAACAAAAAUAAUUGUAAAAGAUGAUUUGAUAGUAAUUUUUUUUUUAAUUGUUUCUUUUCUAAAAAAAAGACAAAAGCUCAAAAAUCUUUAAUAAGUUUGAGGAAAAAACCUACUCCCUCUGUUUUUCAAAGAUGAAUGUUCUAGGAUUUUCACACUUAUUAAGAAACCAUAUUAAAACUUAGUUAUUAAUGCAUAGUUUUUUGUAACUUUAUAUUUCCUAUAUUUUUAAACCAAUAGGAUUAAAAGAAAUGUAAUUAAUAUUUUUGGAACACACAAUUUUUCAUUAUUAAUUGACAAAAUAUGCUUUGAAAACAUGAAAAAUACAUUUUUUUGAAACAAAAUAUUUUCCUAGAACAUCCAUCUUUAAAAAACAGAGGGAGUAAAAAUUAUUCUGGCCCACAAAAAAGCUGACGAAACAAAAAAAAUUCUAAUUUAUUUUAAUCGAGAAUAGAAGCCGAGAAAAUACACACCAGCGCAACCACAUCUUUAGAAAACUGAGAAGAGUAACUGAGAUAAAGGGUCAUGAGUGGUGAGGCUCGUCAAAGAAGGAAAAGAAGAGAAUAACGAGUUGGUGAUGCCAAGCCAGCCGUCUCUGAUUGUUUCCGUAAUCAGUCGCUGCCGGAGAGAUCUUUUUCAAGACUCGCCGUCGGUCAAUAAACGAUGAGCUUACGCAGUGAUGG